Molecule: ribosomal RNA, 1633 nt
Filed under: Klebsiella pneumoniae
Lineage: Bacteria; Pseudomonadati; Pseudomonadota; Gammaproteobacteria; Enterobacterales; Enterobacteriaceae
Description: partial 23S ribosomal RNA
Rfam family: Bacterial large subunit ribosomal RNA
Source: RNAcentral
GGGUUGUGAGGUUAAGCGACUAAGCGUACACGGUGGAUGCCCUGGCAGUCAGAGGCGAUGAAGGACGUGCUAAUCUGCGAAAAGCGUCGGUAAGGUGAUAUGAACCGUUAUAACCGGCGAUGUCCGAAUGGGGAAACCCAGUGCAAUUCGUUGCACUAUCGUUAACUGAAUACAUAGGUUAACGAGGCGAACCGGGGGAACUGAAACAUCUAAGUACCCCGAGGAAAAGAAAUCAACCGAGAUUCCCCCAGUAGCGGCGAGCGAACGGGGAGCAGCCCAGAGUCUGAAUCAGCUUGUGUGUUAGUGGAACGGUCUGGAAAGUCCGACGGUACAGGGUGAUAGUCCCGUACACCAAAAUGCACAGGUUGUGAACUCGAAGAGUAGGGCGGGACACGUGGUAUCCUGUCUGAAUAUGGGGGGACCAUCCUCCAAGGCUAAAUACUCCUGACUGACCGAUAGUGAACCAGUACCGUGAGGGAAAGGCGAAAAGAACCCCGGCGAGGGGAGUGAAAAAGAACCUGAAACCGUGUACGUACAAGCAGUGGGAGCACCUUCGGGUGUGACUGCGUACCUUUUGUAUAAUGGGUCAGCGACUUAUAUUCUGUAGCAAGGUUAACCGUAUAGGGGAGCCGCAGGGAAACCGAGUCUUAACUGGGCGUUAAGUUGCAGGGUAUAGACCCGAAACCCGGUGAUCUAGCCAUGGGCAGGUUGAAGGUUGGGUAACACUAACUGGAGGACCGAACCGACUAAUGUUGAAAAAUUAGCGGAUGACUUGUGGCUGGGGGUGAAAGGCCAAUCAAACCGGGAGAUAGCUGGUUCUCCCCGAAAGCUAUUUAGGUAGCGCCUCGUGAACUCAUCUUCGGGGGUAGAGCACUGUUUCGGCUAGGGGGUCAUCCCGACUUACCAACCCGAUGCAAACUACGAAUACCGAAGAAUGUUAUCACGGGAGACACACGGCGGGUGCUAACGUCCGUCGUGAAGAGGGAAACAACCCAGACCGCCAGCUAAGGUCCCAAAGUCAUGGUUAAGUGGGAAACGAUGUGGGAAGGCACAGACAGCCAGGAUGUUGGCUUAGAAGCAGCCAUCAUUUAAAGAAAGCGUAAUAGCUCACUGGUCGAGUCGGCCUGCGCGGAAGAUGUAACGGGGCUAAACCAUGCACCGAAGCUGCGGCAGCGACACUAUGUGUUGUUGGGUAGGGGAGCGUUCUGUAAGCCUGCGAAGGUGACCUGUGAGGGUUGCUGGAGGUAUCAGAAGUGCGAAUGCUGACAUAAGUAACGAUAAAGCGGGUGAAAAGCCCGCUCGCCGGAAGACCAAGGGUUCCUGUCCAACGUUAAUCGGGGCAGGGUGAGUCGACCCCUAAGGCGAGGCCGAAAGGCGUAGUCGAUGGGAAACAGGUUAAUAUUCCUGUACUUGGUGUUACUGCGAAGGGGGGACGGAGAAGGCUAUGUUAGCCGGGCGACGGUUGUCCCGGUUUAAGCAUGUAGGCUGGUUGUCCAGGCAAAUCCGGAUAAUCAAGGCUGAGGUGUGAUGACGAGGCACUACGGUGCUGAAGUAACAAAUGCCCUGCUUCCAGGAAAAGCCUCUAAGCAUCAGGUAACAUCAAAUCGUACCCCAAACCGACACAGGUGGUCAG